Brienomyrus brachyistius is the source of this 2532-nucleotide long non-coding RNA. RefSeq lists it as uncharacterized. The record is from RefSeq and is a predicted model, not a curated record. The transcript is spliced from 4 exons. Lineage: Eukaryota; Metazoa; Chordata; Actinopteri; Osteoglossiformes; Mormyridae.
GUCAGGUGUGUGGCUGCGGAUCUAUUAACGUUGAAUUCCAGCAAAGGAGACAGAAAUUAUUGAGGGACAGGUAGAGCAGGGUCAUUCAGAUGUACAGUGUCAGAAAGCAAAUUCAGACAGCGGUUGCCUGGAUCAACACCCAGUACUGGGAUGCCUGGAACCUGUGUGACGAGGUGAUCGACUGGGGAGACGGUGUGGAGGAGUGCUCACGAGCGACACCCCCACUGUCCAGGUUGGGGGGGAUAAGGAGGGAUUGGGAAGGGCUACUUGGGAAAAUGUGGAGGUAUCAGAAAGGGGCGUCCAAUGGUGAGAUGGAGGGGGCGGAGGCUGGUAUGAAUGUAAUGCAUAUGGUAAAUGGAGGUGAGGAGAAUGGAUGUGAGGUAGGAGUGAAUGUGGAGGAGGUUAAGGGAGAAGGAGAGAAAAGUAGAGGGAAUGCUUUGGGAUCUAUUGUGUCACAAGGAGGCAGAUCAUGGCUGGAAACCAUUCAGGAAGAAGGAUGUGAGGAAGAAGAAGAAACUGAGGUGGCGUUUCAGGAGGCACAAGACGCUGAGGUUGCCCAGUUGGACAGAUGGUGUCCAUGUGGCUGGUGUAAGGUGGGGUAGGAGGCUUCUGAACCAUGUGUUAGGCCUAGUGCACUUAUGGAUUGUGCUUGUUUGUUAUAAUGAAAUAAGCUUAUAAACUAAACAUAAUAUAUUUUAUAGGUACGUGUUUAUAUCAGUAUCUACAUGUAAAGGGAGCAGACACAGGAAAAAGGUAUUGAAGACCCUUGAUAUGAUAUUGCUGUUUUUGAUUUAGAUUCCAAAGUUAACCCUUUAUUUAAUUUAUCCCUUUUCCCCAAGUAGAAUGAUGCAUUUACUUGUAAUCUGUAUUAUUUUGCUUUGGAGUCGGAAGUUCCAAAAUCACCAGGUAAGUUAAUCGAUUGUAUGUGUUUUAACUACUAGACAGAUGUAAAUGAUAAGCCUUAAGAUUUAUUUUAAAUUAAUUUAUUGUUUUUUUGUAAAUUAAAAACAGGAACCCUCGUGGACCAAGACUUGAGGGCAUUUGUACCAUCCAGCUGUACAACUUUAACUGGUUCUGCAGUCUUUUUCUCCCCACAGCCUCUGCUUGUUCCCUUCUUCUCUUUCUGUCUUCCCUCCAGGAGAGCUCCUCAGGCAUCUCCAGCCUGUAAUUCCUGGGAAAUGCCACCUGCCACCCAUCCUUGGAAGCGUCGCCCAGUCUCAGGAUCUCAUACGUCACCAUUCAUCACAGAGUCACAGCGCUUGCAGACAUCUGGAUGAAAGGAAAAGCCCAUUUUUUAAAACUUACACGUUAAAUUUUCCUCUAAUUACCAUUUUAUUCUUUUAAAUUUCAUUAUGUUUAAUUACAUUUAGUAUGGAUUAAGGCACAGCCAGCCUGGAUUAAGGCAUCACCAGCCUGUCAUCAGACUCUCCGGACAAUGCCAGCCCAGAGGGGGCUGACCUGGAGGACAUUCCCCCGGAGGACAUGGAGUGGGAGCCUCCAGGUCUUGCCCUGAGUCCCACUCCGUGGUGUCAGCCCCGUGGCCAAAGUUUCCCCAGCCGAGGAGGCUAUCGCCGCGACAACGGCAGGGUCAACGGAAAUCCAGUCGUGGGCUGAGGUCCAGGAGGAAAAAACGAGGUUAUGCUACCCAGACCUGCCUCCUGAUCCAGGCUUGGUCCAAGAUGGUCUUUCAGGGGUCCCUGGUUUGGUCCAGUUCCUGUCCUGCCUGCCCCUCGACACCCUCCGACUCUGCCAACCCCUCGCCGUCUACCGAUGCUGUUCUUCCCUCGGCUGCCGCAGACGAGUGGAGCUUCUACAGACCCAGACAGGAUUCCAAAGGCCCCCCUGGCCGUGACCCUUCUGCGGCACCCCGGAGCCCAUCAGAGGCCCUGAACUGUUCACUUUACCUCCCAUGCUACCUAGUGUCUUGCCCCUCCUAAUACCUCAGUCUUUGGUCUGUAGUCUUGCUUCCCCGUGGCUCUCCCUGGUUUCACCUCUUAGCCCGAUUUCACUGUUCCAGCCCCCACUCCAGUCACUCUUGCUUCCCGCUUUAGGUUCCCCUCUCCUGGCCAUAUUAUUGUUGCACUGGUUCCGUUGCUUGCCUGUCUUGUCUGGUUGUGUCCUGCCUUGUCUGUCCCUGUGCCAUCUUUGGUCCUUUUGAUGCCCAAUCCCUCCCUUUUGUCUCCUUCUACUGUGUCCUUUGUUCCCACUUACCCACUGACACCCACUGUCUGUCUUUUGGUCCAUAGUCAGCAUCCCUGUUGGAUUACCUGGCCUGUCAUGAGUUGUGUCCUGGGGGUUAGUCUCCCCUGUUGUCCUUGGUUUUGCCCUGGUCUGUGUGUCCCCUUAAUGAUGCCCUUGUACCCGGAGGGCACAGGAUUGGGAGGGGGGCGUUUACUGUCAUGUCUUGCCCAUUUAGUCAACCUUACCCUCCAGUUCUCCUCCCUGAUGAGCCACGCUUGGUGUCUAUUAGUCUCACCCCAUGUUCCUCCCCUUCUGUCAGUCACUAUCAGCUUCCUUGUGUUUUCCCAUUCC